This is a non-coding RNA of Xyrichtys novacula (pearly razorfish), 1121 nucleotides long. NCBI's taxonomy places the organism in Eukaryota, Metazoa, Chordata, Actinopteri, Labriformes, Labridae. The record is from the annotation of a GenBank genome assembly.
CUCUAGAAGUGAAAUGCUGUCUGGAUCUUGUCUGACAUCAGAUUUUAGCUGCUCAGCUCAGGUUUCUUUAGUAGUAAAUAUGUAUAUAUAUUUUUAUGAUGCACCAAAUGUUUUUAACAGAUGACAAGUUAAGACUGCAGGAAGGCCAGUUUUGCAUUCAGACUAUUUGGAGCCAUGCUGUUGCAAAAUAUGGUUUGGCACUGUGUUCAAGUAUGACGGUCUUUCCUGAAAAACACAUUGUCUGAAUGGAAGCAAUACACUGCAUCUUAAUCUAUUUAUUGUUUGGCAUUGUUUAGCUUUCCAGGAUGUGUAAACUACCCAUGCCAUGGACACUUAUGAUGCCAACACCACCAGGGAUGCUGGCUUUUCAGCUUAUCCUGAUAACAAGCCAGGUGGUCUAUUUCCUCUAUGGUCCAGGAUGCAGCGUCCAUGAAUUUAUAAGAAUAUCAGUUUUUGAUUUGUCACAUCACAGGACAGUUUUCCAUGUUGCCUCAGUCCUUCCAGAGAUUGCGAAUGGACUAUGUUUCUAUAGCGCUUUCUCUAGACCUCUGACCACUCAAAGUGCCUUUACAUUACAUGUCACAUUCACAUACUGGUGGUGGCAGAGGCUGCUUUGUAUAGAGCCCAUCAGUUUUGGACUGAUCCCUUCAACAUAAAGCUAGUGGGGGCAGGUGGGGUCAUGUGUCACUUCAGCAUGUGAAAGCAGGACUAGGGGAUCAAACCACUGACCUUCUGAUUGGGAGUUGACAGACUUUACCACUGAGCCACAGCUGCCAGCAUUUCUGGAUGAUGAUAACGUUUAUUACCUUAUACCACCAAACCAGUUUAAACUUAAAUUUGUAGAUGCAGAGACAAACGAUGCAGAAAAUGUUUUUGGAGGUGAUUUUGAGCCCAUGCUGUGAUUUCCACUACAGAGUUGUAUUUCUCUUUUAAGCAGUGCCACCUGAGGGCACGAGAGAUCAUAAAUAUCCAGUAUUAGUUUUUUAUCUUUGUUCUUCUUCUACAGAGAUUUCUUCAGAUUUCCUAAACCUUUAAAUGAUACGAUACACUGUAGAAGCAUUUUCACACUGAAAAACAUUAUUCUAAAAUAGCAGAACCACUUGCUCAUACUUGGCUUGUAU